RNAcentral lists this small nuclear RNA (102 nucleotides) under Meriones unguiculatus (Mongolian gerbil). The record is from RNAcentral. Lineage: Eukaryota; Metazoa; Chordata; Mammalia; Rodentia; Muridae.
GUGCUUGCUUUGGCAUCACAUAUACUAAUAUUGGAAUGAUAAAAAGAGUAUUAGCAUACCCCCUUCACUAGGAUGACACACAAAUUCGGGAAACAUUUUUUU